AUGGCGGCCGCCACCAACACCAAGCCGAAGAGGCAGCAGCCGGCACCGGUCCUGGACCCCAAGUUCGAAUGGGCGGACAAGGCCAGCACCUACGUGCUCCGCCUCAGCCUCGAGGGGUUCAAGAAGGGCGACUUCAGGGUGCAGGUGGACGGCGCCGGCAGGCUCACCGUGAGCGGGGCGAGGCCGGGUGCCACCCCGGGCUCCUUGCACAAGGUCUUCCAGCUCCCGUCUACAGCCAGCCUCGAUGACAUCGCCGGCCGCUUCGAGUCCGGCGUGCUCACGCUCACCGUGCCCAAGCGCGCGUACUCUGGUGUCCCCGCGCCGACGAGCAUCGAGGAGAUUAAGAGGGAUAAACCUGGUGUGGCCAAGGAAGACGUCAGGCCGCCGCCAACCAAAGACGUCGACGGCAACGAUAAGAAGGCGGCCAGCGGCGACGACAGCACCACCAAGCCUAAGGAAGAGAUCGCCAAGGAGGAGGAUGUGUCCAACAAGCCCAUGGACGAGGCCACGAAGAAUGCUCAACAGCAGAAGCAACCGGAGGAGGCAAGCAACCACAAACAAGAGCAGCAAAAGCUAGCACCAGAACCAGAGGUGAAGAAGGAGCAAGAAGUGAAGCCGGCGCCGGAGCCGGAGGUUGCCAUCGACGAGAAGGACAAAGCGGUGGUUGACCAGGAGAGCCUGGCGGCGGGCGUGAGACGGCGCAUCGAGGAAGAGAAAGCCAAGGCUGCGGCCGCUGCCAUGGAAGCCAAAGCGGUGUUGGAGAAGAAGGCCACCGCGUGCAGCGGCUGGAAGCAGCGCGUGGCAGGGGGGCUGGAGCAGCUGACAGACAUGAAGUGGGCGGACAGCGUGGUGGAGAAGGCAAGGAACAACAAGGAGGUGGUCGCCAUCGCCAUCGCUGCUUUCUCGCUCGGCUUCUUCGUCUCUCACAAGUUAUUCAGGAAGUGA
RNAcentral lists this ribosomal RNA (945 nucleotides) under Triticum aestivum (bread wheat). RNAcentral describes it as "partial small subunit ribosomal RNA". The record is from RNAcentral. Lineage: Eukaryota; Viridiplantae; Streptophyta; Magnoliopsida; Poales; Poaceae.